GCCGGGUGUGGUGGUGCGCGCCUGUAAUCCUAGCUACUCAAGAGGCUGAGACAGAAGAAUCGCUUGAACCUGGGAGGCGGAGGUUGCAGUGAGCCAAGAUUGUGCCACUGCACUCCAGCCUGGGUGACAGAGCGAGACUCAGUCUCAA
Molecule: non-coding RNA, 148 nt
Filed under: Nomascus leucogenys (northern white-cheeked gibbon)
Lineage: Eukaryota; Metazoa; Chordata; Mammalia; Primates; Hylobatidae
Source: Rfam by way of RNAcentral